RNAcentral lists this ribosomal RNA (497 nucleotides) under uncultured bacterium. Its description in RNAcentral is "partial 16S ribosomal RNA". It matches the Rfam family "Bacterial small subunit ribosomal RNA", at positions 28 to 507 of the family's 1533-position model. The record is from RNAcentral.
GAUGAACGCUGGCGGCGUGCCUAAUACAUGCAAGUCGAGCGAACAGACGAGGAGCUUGCUCCUCUGACGUUAGCGGCGGACGGGUGAGUAACACGUGGAUAACCUACCUAUAAGACUGGGAUAACUUCGGGAAACCGGAGCUAAUACCGGAUAAUAUAUUGAACCGCAUGGUUCAAUAGUGAAAGACGGUUUUGCUGUCACUUAUAGAUGGAUCCGCGCCGCAUUAGCUAGUUGGUAAGGUAACGGCUUACCAAGGCAACGAUGCGUAGCCGACCUGAGAGGGUGAUCGGCCACACUGGAACCGAGACACGGUCCAGACUCCUACGGGAGGCAGCAGUAGGGAAUCUUCCGCAAUGGGCGAAAGCCUGACGGAGCAACGCCGCGUGAGUGAUGAAGGUCUUCGGAUCGUAAAAAUCUGUUAUUAGGGAAGAACAAAUGUGUAAGUAACUAUGCACGUCUUGACGGUACCUAAUCAGAAAGCCACGGCUAACUACGUG